Molecule: ribosomal RNA, 497 nt
Filed under: uncultured bacterium
Lineage: Bacteria
Description: partial 16S ribosomal RNA
Rfam family: Bacterial small subunit ribosomal RNA
Source: RNAcentral
GAUGAACGCUGGCGGCGUGCCUAAUACAUGCAAGUCGAGCGAACGGACGAGAAGUUUGCUCCUCUGAUGUUUUCGGCGGACGUGUGAGUCACACGUGUAUCACCUCCCUAUAAGACUGGGAUAACUUCGGGACACCGGCGCUAAUACCAUAUAAUAUUUUGAACCGCAUGGUUCAAAAGUAAAAGACGGUCUUGUUGUUACUUAUAGAUGGUUCCGGGUGUAAUUAGCUAGUUGGUAUGGUAACGGCUUACCAAGGCAACAAUGCAUAGCCGACCUGGGAGGGUGAUGGGCAACAAGGGAACGGAGAAAGGAUCAAGACUCCUAGGGGAGGAAGAAGAGGGGAAUCUUGCGCAAUGAGGGAAAGCCGGACGGAGCAACGCGGGGUAGGGGAUGAGGGUCUUCGGAUCGUAAAACUCGGUGAUUAGGGAAGAACAGAUGUGUAAGUAACUGUGCACAUCGUGACGGUACCUAAUCAGAAAGCCACGGCUAACUACGUG